UAACCUGCCCAAGAGAUCGGGAUAACACCUGGAAACAGAUGCUAAUACCGGAUAACAACAGAUGAUGCCUAUCAACUGUUUAAAAGAUGGUUCUGCUAUCACUCUUGGAUGGACCUGCGGUGCAUUAGCUAGUUGGUAGGGUAACGGCCUACCAAGGCGAUGAUGCAUAGCCGAGUUGAGAGACUGAUCGGCCACAUUGGGACUGAGACACGGCCCAAACUCCUACGGAGGCAGCAGG
Molecule: ribosomal RNA, 238 nt
Filed under: uncultured Lactobacillus sp.
Lineage: Bacteria; Bacillati; Bacillota; Bacilli; Lactobacillales; Lactobacillaceae
Description: partial 16S ribosomal RNA
Rfam family: Bacterial small subunit ribosomal RNA
Source: RNAcentral